AAAGCGGCGAAAGGGAGAGGAAUAGGUGGGAAUCUGCCCCUGGAUCGGGGAUAGCUACGGGAAACUGUAGGUAAUACCCGAUAACGUCGAAAGACCAAAGGUGUGAUUCCGUCUGGGGAUGAGCCCACCUCCUAUUAGCUAGUUGUUAGGGUAAUGGCCUAACAAGGCAUUGAUGGGUAGCUGGUGUGAGAGCACGACCAGCCUCACUGGCACUGAGACACUGGCCAGACACCUACGGGUGGCUGCAGUCGAGAAUCUUCGGCAAUGGACGAAAGUCUGACCGAGCGACGCCGCGUGCGGGAUGAAGGCCUUCGGGUUGUAAACCGCUGUCGUAGGGGAUCAAAUGCAUUUGGGUACUCCCUUUUGCUUGAGAGAUCCUAGGAGGAAGGAGAGGCUAAGCUCGUGCCAGCAGCCGCGGUAAGACGAGCUCUCCAAACGUUAUUCGGUAUUACUGGGCUUAAAGAGUUCGUAGGCGGUCUUGUAGGUGAGGUGUGAAAGCCCUCGGCUUAACCGAGGAAUUGCGCUUCAAACCACAAGGCUUGAGGGAGGUAGGGGUAUGCGGAACAGAUGGUGGAGCGGUGAAAUGCGUUGAUAUCAUCUGGAACACCGGUGGCGAAAGCGGCAUACUGGACCUUUUCUGACGCUGAGGAACGAAAGCUAGGGUAGCGAACGGGAUUAGAUACCCCGGUAGUCCUAGCCGUAAACGAUGAGCACUAGUCUGUAGGGACCCUCAUAUCC
RNAcentral lists this ribosomal RNA (738 nucleotides) under uncultured organism. Its description in RNAcentral is "bacterial SSU rRNA". It matches the Rfam family "Bacterial small subunit ribosomal RNA", at positions 92 to 839 of the family's 1533-position model. The record is from RNAcentral.